This 303-nucleotide unclassified non-coding RNA is filed under the name plant metagenome. RNAcentral's name for it is "partial contains 5.8S ribosomal RNA, internal transcribed spacer 2, and large subunit ribosomal RNA". The stretch from base 1 to 105 matches the Rfam family "5.8S ribosomal RNA", at positions 50 to 154 of the family's 154-position model. The record is from RNAcentral.
GAACUGCGAUAAGUAAUGUGAAUUGCAGAAUUCAGUGAAUCAUCGAAUCUUUGAACGCACAUUGCGCCCGCCAGUAUUCUGGCGGGCAUGCCUGUUCGAGCGUCAUUUCAACCAUCAAGCCCCGCGCUUGUGUUGGGGACCUGCGGCUGCCGCAGGCCCUGAAAACCAGUGGCGGGCUCGCUGUCACACCGGGCGUAGUAGAUUUUAUCUCGCUCAGGGCGUGCUGCGGGUUCCGGCCGUUAAAAAGCCUUUUUUACCCAAGGUUGACCUCGGAUCAGGUAGGAAGACCCGCUGAACUUAAGC